UCGAGGCGAAGAGUUUGACCAGAAGGUUAGCC
RNAcentral lists this small RNA (32 nucleotides) under Bombyx mori (domestic silkworm). Its description in RNAcentral is "ovarian small RNA-28391". Lineage: Eukaryota; Metazoa; Arthropoda; Insecta; Lepidoptera; Bombycidae. The record is from RNAcentral.